UUGAUCUUGAAAAUGACCAAAACCUGCUCAAGAGCUUUAGGAAUGAAAUUAUCGAGUUGAACAAAACCCACUGAUUUUAUAGUCAGACAUUUUGAGAUCAAACCAUUUGCUUUGCUUUCACGACAGUGUCCUGCCAUUUUAUUUCAUUUUCCAUUUUAUUUAUUAAGGGGAAAUUUAAACAAGUAAGUAUUUAAGUGAACAGAUUACUGUUUUUCCCCUAAAUGAUGACCAAGAUGCCAACCUUCCUCUCCUUACUCAAAGCCUGUUUAGUGUCAGACCAUUUUAAUGUCAGAUUUCAUUUUUGUGGCGAAAUAGUGACUUCACAAAGCCCCAUGAAGAUGUCACAAGUCCACUAGCUCAAGCCUGCUUGCAGGUGGAAAAAAUUUGCAAUUGACUGAGAUUUUGCUUUCUCUAUGAUUGUGUUCUUCACAAUAAAUGAAAUUGAAAAAGACAAGGAGAUAAGAGAACCACUGACUAAAAUUUUAUGAUUAAAAUCUGCAUCUCGCAUUUUGAGUUUUCUAAAAGUCCAAAUCCACUGUAGUCCAAGAAAGAAGGCUUCUCCAACUCUAGUCCAUAACUGAGUGGAUCCUUCCCACCUGUGAAAUCACUGGCAGAUACCAGUAAACAACUCCUUUCAGGCUUAAAGUACCACAUUGAACAAAUGAGUUAUGCUGAAGAAAGUGAUCAGUGCAGUGAAGUGUUUGGGAUCUAAGAUAUAUAAGAAGUAACUGAAGGAACUAGGAAUAGAUGAGGUGAGACAAGACUCAGAAGGAGCCAGGAGGUGGUUCUGAAGUAUUUUAGGAGUUGUCCUGUGAAAAAGGAAUUGGACUGUUCCACACUGAAGAUUUUAGACCAAUUAUCCAGGUUUUGGUUGAUAAAAAGAUGAACAUUUUAACAAGUAGAACCUUUGAACAAUAAAAUAGACUGCAUUUUAAAAUGAUGAACUCCCUAUCACUCAAGUAUUUUAGCAGAGGUUGAAGCUAAGGGGUUGGAAGAGUAAGAGCCUUUAUUACAAGACAAUUCUAUGAGUCUAUGGUUUUUCAACUCGUAAGUUUGUGUAGUCUAUGCAUUCUACUUAUUAUGACACAAGUAUAUAAUGUCAUGACAUUUAAGUAUAUAAUGUCAUGAAAUGGCAUUCAAAGUUGAUUGUUCCUACUCCAUACUAUCUGAGUGUUAGGAUUGAACCUGUGUAAAUCUUAUCUUCCCCACUGAACCAGUAUUAUUCCUAAACGAGGAGCUUUCUUUUAUGGGGAUACGAAAAAGAGGCUCAGAAACAUCCAAAUUAAGUUUUUCACAGAACUGCUUUAUCAAAGUUAGUUUACCAAAAAACUUUAAAC
RNAcentral lists this long non-coding RNA (1337 nucleotides) under Equus caballus (horse). Its description in RNAcentral is "lncRNA (ENSECAG00000056156.1)". Lineage: Eukaryota; Metazoa; Chordata; Mammalia; Perissodactyla; Equidae. The record is from RNAcentral.